Molecule: small RNA, 152 nt
Filed under: metagenome
Description: ydaO-yuaA
Rfam family: c-di-AMP riboswitch aptamer (ydaO/yuaA leader)
About the family: This family represents a conserved RNA structure found upstream of the ydaO and yuaA genes in Bacillus subtilis and related genes in other bacteria. The ydaO/yuaA element is thought to act as a genetic "off" switch for the ydaO and yuaA genes in its native state.
Source: RNAcentral
CGAUCCGCAUCUCCUUGUCGGGCAGGAGUGGGGGACCCAGGUUCCAUGCCGAGGCUGGUCUCAGCAACGGCUCGGGGUGAAGGCGCACAGCGCCGGAGCACUUUCCAGCUCCAACCCGACAGCUCACCUCACAGGCGUGGGAAAGAGAGCGU